UGGCUCAGGACGAACGCUGGCGGCGUGCCUAAUACAUGCAAGUCGAGCGGAUCGAUGGGAGCUUGCUCCCUGAGAUCAGCGGCGGACGGGUGAGUAACACGUGGGUAACCUGCCUGUAAGACUGGGAUAACUCCGGGAAACCGGGGCUAAUACCGGAUAAYUCAGUUCCUCGCAUGAGGAACUGUUGAAAGGUGGCUUUUCGCUACCACUUACAGAUGGACCCGCGGCGCAUUAGCUAGUUGGUGAGGUAACGGCUCACCAAGGCAACGAUGCGUAGCCGACCUGAGAGGGUGAUCGGCCACACUGGGACUGAGACACGGCCCAGACUCCUACGGGAGGCAGCAGUAGGGAAUCUUCCGCAAUGGACGAAAGUCUGACGGAGCAACGCCGCGUGAGUGAAGAAGGUUUUCGGAUCGUAAAACUCUGUUGUUAGGGAAGAACAAGUGCCGUUCGAAUAGGGCGGCACCUUGACGGUAC
This 477-nucleotide ribosomal RNA is filed under the name Bacillus sp. 12J(2010). Its description in RNAcentral is "bacterial SSU rRNA". It matches the Rfam family "Bacterial small subunit ribosomal RNA", at positions 20 to 478 of the family's 1533-position model. The record is from RNAcentral. Lineage: Bacteria; Bacillati; Bacillota; Bacilli; Caryophanales; Bacillaceae.